RNAcentral lists this long non-coding RNA (437 nucleotides) under Homo sapiens (human). RNAcentral's name for it is "non-protein coding lnc-VOPP1-5:2". Lineage: Eukaryota; Metazoa; Chordata; Mammalia; Primates; Hominidae. The record is from RNAcentral.
CUCCAUCAGCAAGCUCCAGUGCUACGUGUCCCUGGCAUUUUAGGUGUCGGUUGGGUAGAAUUCCAGAAGAUUGCCAUGGCAACAGCAAUAGGAUUUGCUAUAAUGGGAUUCAUUGGCUUCUUUGUGAAAUUGAUCCAUAUUCCUAUUAAUAACAUCAUUGUGUAAGUAAACUUUAUGAAAUAGACUAGGAUUGAAUGAAACUCAAAACCAUUUGAGAUGACAGGCUGUUAUUUCGUUAAUAUAGAGAUGCAUCUCUUGACUUUUUAGUGCUGUUGGAGUCUACUGAUAUUUACGAGUACCUGAUAAUUGAGGGCUUUUAGAUCUUACAUGAUCUGUCCAGAAAUUCUGUGUGCUAGGCACUAUUUUCUUUAAUAAAUAAAAUUUUACAGAGUCAAGAAAGUAUUAAAGACACUCAUAUGUCACAAAGCCAGCAUUGA